RNAcentral lists this ribosomal RNA (431 nucleotides) under uncultured bacterium. RNAcentral describes it as "partial 16S ribosomal RNA". It matches the Rfam family "Bacterial small subunit ribosomal RNA", at positions 30 to 507 of the family's 1533-position model. The record is from RNAcentral.
AGCGAACGCUGGCGGCAUGCCUAACACAUGCAAGUCGAACGCCCCUUCGGGGUCGUGGCGGGCUGGUGGGUAACCCGUGGGGUUAUGCACUUUGGUAUGGCACAACUUAGGGAAACUUCAGCUAAUACCUUAUGUGCCCUACGAGGGGAAGUUUUAUCGCAAUUGGUGCAGCCCGCGUUGGAUUAGGGAGUUGGUGGGGUAAUGGCCCACCAAGCCUACGUUCCAUAGCUGGUCUGAGAGGAUGAGCAGCGACACUGGGGCUGGGACACGGCCCAGAAUGCUAGGGAAGGGAGGAGAGGGGAAUCUAGCGAAAGGGGGGAAAGGCUGACGCAGCCAGGCGGGGUAAAUGAUGAAGGUCGUAGGAAUGUAAAAUUCUUUCAGAGGGGAAGAUAAUGACGGUACCGGGAGAAGAAGCACCGGCUAACUACGUG